GCUGGGAUGGCUGAGUGGCCGAAAGCACCAACCUUGUAAGUUGGUAUACCACAUCGUCAGUUCGAAUCUGACUCCCAGCA
RNAcentral lists this transfer RNA (80 nucleotides) under Xanthomonas phage vB_XciM_LucasX. It matches the Rfam family "tRNA". Rfam says of the family: Transfer RNA (tRNA) molecules are approximately 80 nucleotides in length. Their secondary structure includes four short double-helical elements and three loops (D, anti-codon, and T loops). The record is from Rfam by way of RNAcentral. Lineage: Duplodnaviria; Heunggongvirae; Uroviricota; Caudoviricetes.